This 652-nucleotide long non-coding RNA is filed under the name Homo sapiens (human). Its description in RNAcentral is "novel transcript, sense intronic to EFL1". Lineage: Eukaryota; Metazoa; Chordata; Mammalia; Primates; Hominidae. The record is from RNAcentral.
UUUUUAUUUUUUUAUUUUUUAUUUGUUUUGAGACAGAGUCUUGCUAUGUUUCCCAGGCUGGUCUUGAACUCCUGGGCCUCCUUCCUCAGCCUCCCAAAAUUCUGGGAUUAUAGGUGUGAGCCACCGCGCCUGGCCCAAAUGUAUUUUUUAAAAAGAAAAAAAGAUUGUUUUAUCAUCAUAAAAAUAGUACAUUUGGUGAGACCAUUUGUUUAAAUAUAGAAAAAAUAAAAUGAAAAUGACCUUUAACCCCACUAUCCAGACGUAGCCACUAUUGACAUUUUGGAAUAUAUCCUCCAGCUCUUUUUUUCUGUGCAUAUAUAUGUUUUCUUAUAUAUUUUAUUUAUGCAUUUAAAGUUGUAAUUUUAAAGUACACACAUUUUAAGAGAGGAAAGAUAUACUUUUUUACAAACAAGUUAAUUAUAGAAUAUUUGCAAAUUACAGAAAUAAAAAGAUAAAAACCAGGAGCUGACUGAAACAAUCAUUCACUUUUUAAAACUUUAAAGUAUUUCAGACAAUAGAUAAUAUAAUGAACGUUCAUGUACCUGCCAUCCAGACUCAACUAAUUUUCAUGUUUUUCUUUAAUUGUACAACUUUCUUUAUACCUGGUGAAAUGUUAGCUAUCUAAGUCCCUUAUCCCAUCAAUAACUCCCAU